This is an RNA transcript of Beta vulgaris subsp. vulgaris (sugar beet), 1444 nucleotides long. It is a transcript of the gene named tetraspanin-19, with no coding region annotated. The transcript is spliced from 7 exons. Lineage: Eukaryota; Viridiplantae; Streptophyta; Magnoliopsida; Caryophyllales; Amaranthaceae. The record is from RefSeq and is a predicted model, not a curated record.
UUCCUUUUCUGGGCUUAUUAGCCUUAUUCACAACAGAUUAGGGUUCACAUUUUCAACAAAACUCAAAUUUAGGCAUCAAUAUAAAAACCUGCUCAUAAUUUUCAUACAUUAAUUGUGGAUAAAAAGGGUUUUCAGAUUUUGUACAAAAAGUAUGGGGAGUUUAAUCAGGAGUUUUUUCCAAUCUGUGAUGAAAAUGUUCAAUGCAAUUGUUGGAAUGGCUGGGAUUGCAAUGGUGAUCUACGGUCUAUGGAUGAUCCGGGUUUGGCAGAAGCAAACGGGUCAAUCUCCCUUCGAUGAUUCGGACUACCCAGUUCCAUGGUUCAUCUAUACCUUUUUAGGACUUGGUGUUAUCUUUUGUGUGAUUACAUGCUCAGGUCAUAUUGCUGCAGAAACUUUGAAUGGAUGCUGUUUAUAUCUAUACAUGAUGAUUGUGUUCUUACUGCUCGUGCUAGAAGGUGUUGUAACAGCAGAUGUUUUCCUGAACCAUCACUGGGAGCAGGACUUCCCAAAAGAUGUUUCAGGGAAUCUGCAUGAGUUGAAAGUUUUUGUAGGUGAAAAUUUUGAUUUCUGCAAAUGGAUUGGCUUGUCAAUUCUGGCAGCACAGGGACUGUCAUUUCUGCUGGCUAUGGUGCUGAAAGCUAUGGGCCCGCAUAGAGAAAGAUACUAUGACAGUGAUGAGGAGUAUGCCUCUACAAGGCAUCCUCUUUUGAGAAACUCUGCUAAUCCGCCUCAUGUUGCUGUUGACCCUCUCUAUAUGCCUAAUAAGUGACCACAACAUAUGGGCUUCAUGUGCCUACAAAAAUGGCCAAGGGAUGCAACAUACUCCACAAUUUAUUUGAUUUGCUUCCCGGGAUACAUGUCGGAUGUUGUUGAUGUCACAAAUUUGGAUCAGGCAUCUAAUAUCUUCGAAUAUUGGAUGAUUGAAUCUUCACUACCAAGAUUCCAUGGAAAGGGUGUGACAGCUUGUGGAUGGCUGAUUUUCGUUUAUGAAGAUUAUUAAUUCAUCCAGGAGAUACUGUUUUUGUGUUUAAUGAAUGUAAAUUUUGUGUAUAUGUAAUGUGUUCAUCCUCAGUCUUCCAUAGGCUUGUAAAAGUUCCUUUGAGUUCCUUGUUUCAGUACUAAUGUGAUUAUCAAUUGAUCAAAGUGACAAUCCAUCGGAUUUGCAACAAUACCGAGAGCCACCUAGCUUGAUACUCAACCUCAGCUAAUAUUGGAGCUACGGGUUCAUCACCGCAUCCACCAGCUUAGUCUAACUUCCUCAACAAGCUUUAUUCUAAGUUUGUUAUGUUAGUUAGAGGUUGUAAUGAGUUGGUUAGAUAAUUUAUUAUUACCUUUAAUUAAUUCUUUUACAUAGAUCUGUAACAUAAAUAGAUACUUUGUAUCUCUCUAGAUUGUAUUCAAUCCUUACAAUCAAUCAAUGAUUUCAAUCUCUUAGAUUCUCUCA